Molecule: ribosomal RNA, 460 nt
Filed under: uncultured bacterium
Lineage: Bacteria
Description: partial 16S ribosomal RNA
Rfam family: Bacterial small subunit ribosomal RNA
Source: RNAcentral
CCUACGUGCAGCAGCAGUGAGGAAUAUUGGUCAAUGGGCGCUAGCCUGAACCAGCCCAGUCGCGUGAAGGAUGACUGCUCUAUGGGUUGUAAACUUCUUUUAUAUGGGAAUAAAGUUCAGCACGUAUACUGCUUUGCAUGUACCCUAUGAAUAAGCAUCGGCUAACUCCGUGCCAGCAGCCGCGGUCAUACGGAGGGUCCGAGCGUUAUCCGGAUUUAUUGGGUUUAAAGGGAGCGUAGGCGGGUUUUUAAGUCAGUUGUGAAAGUUUGCGGCUCAACCGUAAAAUUGCCGUUGAAACUGGCAUCCUUGAGUGCAGUAGAGGUAGGCGGAAUUCGUGGUGUAGCGGUGAAAUGCUUAGAUAUCACGAAGAACUCCGAUUGCGAAGGCAGCCUGCUGGACUGUAACUGACGCUGAUGCUCGAAAGUGUGGGGAUCAAACAGGAUUAGAUACCCUUGUAGUC